CGACCAGCAGCACCGCCGAGGGGAGAGGACGCGUACACCCUCUCGGAUCUCGGGGUAGUGGUGCGGCACCGACGCCGACGUCGAGGUUGGGGUGGACGCACCGCAGGAGAGGGGCGCCAUUAUAUUUGCGCAGGGCCGUCCAAUAGGGCGCAGUAUCGUCCCGACCGUCGUCGCGUGCACAUGUCGUUUGUUGUGUGACCGGACUUGUAAAACGCGCGUAAAAUCACCACCGUCGCCGUCGCCGACUCCCCCUCCCCGAAUAUACACACACGUCCCGGUGUCUUCUCGCGAGGGUGAGAUCCACGCGAGACGCGUUCCCGUCCUCUACUCCUUCUGUCUCCCGUAUUCUCUAUCUUCUCUAUCUCAAUCUCUCUUCUUUUCUCUCUCUCCCUCUCCGUCUCCAUCUGUCUCUUUAAACCCUGUAUUCUUCAACCCCCUCCGCGCGCGUCAUCGUACUCUAUAUAUUCGCACGCAGAUAUAUAAACAACAGAGACAGAGAGCGCGAGUCCGACCACGCACGAGGAUCGUGGAAAGUGUUGCGCUGCGAGACCAAAACGAAUGGGCCAGAGAUCGAUCGUCGGAGAAAACCAUAUCGCACUUUAAAGAAAACUACAUAUCCUCGUGAUCCACGUUGUAUACUACACUCCGUCGUUGCACAUCGUAUCGGUGAGUGAUGAAUCAUUUUUUAUUUUAAGAUAAUGUGGAUUGAGACGAUAAAAAAUAGUUUACUAAAAAUCAAAGGGCGUGGAAGAACUCGCUGUAAUCCGAAAUUCUCGUUUAUGUGCAUGCAAAUAUGGAAAUUAAAAAUUCUGAACGGUCUUACACACACACAUCCACACACGUGUGCGUGUUUUCCUCUCAUAUUCUAUCAUAAAUAAUAUUCGUAUUCUAAAUAUGGCAAUACAAAUAUUCUGUUAUUUAUAUAACAUUUCUCAUGGAAUAAAUAUUAAAAUAAAUAUGAAAUAUGAAAUAUAAAUAAUUAUUAAAUUAUAAGAAUACAAAGAAUAUUUUAACAUAAGUAAAAAGAUAAAUAAUUUUUCUGCCACAAAAGAUAUCAUUCAUGUUCUUUCCAUUUAUUAUUUUAUUUGAAAAUCAGGAUACUAAAUAAAUGAAAUCACCAUUUAGAUCAGAUUUAUAAAUUCGAAUAACACUUGCAAAUGUUUCGAUCUAUAUUUAUCUAUAUUAUAUAUAUCGAUCUAUGUUUUCAUAUUCUAGAAAUAAAAUAAAAAAGAAAAUAUGUUUAUUUUGUAGACAUAUAUAUGUUUAAAAUAUUAUUAUAUUAAAGAGAAAAAAUUUACUUGCUUGAAACAAAAUUUUGUAUACAGAUAUAUUCAUUAAUUUCAUAAUAAUGGGAUUAGAAAUAUAGCUACUGAUACAAGUAUAUAUCGGGAACAAAGCUCCUCAAGCUAUGUACGACGAAUUAGAGACGACGCAAAAAAAAAAAAAAAAAAAAAGGGC
Formica exsecta is the source of this 1458-nucleotide long non-coding RNA. RefSeq lists it as uncharacterized. NCBI's taxonomy places the organism in Eukaryota, Metazoa, Arthropoda, Insecta, Hymenoptera, Formicidae. The record is from RefSeq and is a predicted model, not a curated record. The transcript has 3 exons.